RNAcentral lists this ribosomal RNA (511 nucleotides) under uncultured Enterobacterales bacterium. RNAcentral's name for it is "bacterial SSU rRNA". It matches the Rfam family "Bacterial small subunit ribosomal RNA", at positions 29 to 528 of the family's 1533-position model. Lineage: Bacteria; Pseudomonadati; Pseudomonadota; Gammaproteobacteria; Enterobacterales. The record is from RNAcentral.
AUUGAACGCUGGCGGCAGGCCUAACACAUGCAAGUCGAACGGUAGCACAGAGGAGCUUGCUCCUUGGGUGACGAGUGGCGGACGGGUGAGUAAUGUCUGGGAAACUGCCCGAUGGAGGGGGAUAACUACUGGAAACGGUAGCUAAUACCGCAUAACGUCGCAAGACCAAAGAGGGGGACCCUCGGGCCUCUUGCCAUCGGAUGUGCCCAGAUGGGAUUAGCUAGUAGGUGGGGUAACGGCUCACCUAGGCGACGAUCCCUAGCUGGUCUGAGAGGAUGACCAGCCACACUGGAACUGAGACACGGUCCAGACUCCUACGGGAGGCAGCAGUGGGGAAUAUUGCACAAUGGGCGCAAGCCUGAUGCAGCCAUGCCGCGUGUAUGAAGAAGGCCUUCGGGUUGUAAAGUACUUUCAGCGAGGAGGAAGGCGUUGUGGUUAAUAACCGCAACGAUUGACGUUACUCGCAGAAGAAGCACCGGCUAACUCCGUGCCAGCCGCCGCGGUAAAAGGG